RNAcentral lists this ribosomal RNA (414 nucleotides) under Limosilactobacillus fermentum. Its description in RNAcentral is "bacterial SSU rRNA". It matches the Rfam family "Bacterial small subunit ribosomal RNA", at positions 379 to 786 of the family's 1533-position model. The record is from RNAcentral. Lineage: Bacteria; Bacillati; Bacillota; Bacilli; Lactobacillales; Lactobacillaceae.
CAGCCUGAUGGAGCACACCGCGUGAGUGAAGAAGGGUUUCGGCUCGUAAAGCUCUGUUGUUAAAGAAGAACACGUAUGAGAGUAACUGUUCAUACGUUGACGGUAUUUAACCAGAAAGUCACGGCUAACUACGUGCCAGCAGCCGCGGUAAUACGUAGGUGGCAAGCGUUAUCCGGAUUUAUUGGGCGUAAAGAGAGUGCAGGCGGUUUUCUAAGUCUGAUGUGAAAGCCUUCGGCUUAACCGGAGAAGUGCAUCGGAAACUGGAUAACUUGAGUGCAGAAGAGGGUAGUGGAACUCCAUGUGUAGCGGUGGAAUGCGUAGAUAUAUGGAAGAACACCAGUGGCGAAGGCGGCUACCUGGUCUGCAACUGACGCUGAGACUCGAAAGCAUGGGUAGCGAACAGGAUUAGAUACC